UACGUAGGGGGCAAGCGUUGUCCGGAUUUAUUGGGCGUAAAGAGCGUGUAGGCGGCUAGGUAGGUCCGUUGUGAAAACUCGAGGCUCAACCUCGAGACGUCGAUGGAAACCAUCUAGCUAGAGUCCGGAAGAGGAGAGUGGAAUUCCUGGUGUAGCGGUGAAAUGCGCAGAUAUCAGGAAGAACACCAACGGCGAAGGCAGCUCGCUGGGACGGUACUGACGCUGAGACGCGAAAGCGUGGGGAGCGAACAGG
This 253-nucleotide ribosomal RNA is filed under the name uncultured bacterium. RNAcentral's name for it is "partial 16S ribosomal RNA". It matches the Rfam family "Bacterial small subunit ribosomal RNA", at positions 524 to 776 of the family's 1533-position model. The record is from RNAcentral.